GUGGGGAAUUUUGGACAAUGGGGGAAACCCUGAUCCAGCGACGCCGCGUGAAGGAUGAAGGUUUUCGGAUUGUAAACUUCUUUUGCAGGGGGCAAAGGCCGGCAACGGCGUGAUGGUACCCUGUGAAUAAGCCACGGCUAACUACGUGCCAGCAGCCGCGGUAAUACGUAGGUGGCGAGCGUUACUCGGAAUUACUAGGCGUAAAGCGCGUGUAGGCGGGAGCCUAAGUCCGCUGUGAAAACCCGUGGCUCAACCACGGGCGUGCGGCGGAUACUGGGAUUCUUGAAUUCGGUAGAGGCAGCUGGAAUUCCGGGUGUAGCAGUGAAAUGCGUAGAUAUCCGGAAGAACGCCAAAGGCGAAAGCAGGCUGCUGGGCCGCAAUUGACGCUGAGAUGCGAAAGCUAGGGGAGCAAACAGG
This 417-nucleotide ribosomal RNA is filed under the name uncultured rumen bacterium. RNAcentral's name for it is "bacterial SSU rRNA". It matches the Rfam family "Bacterial small subunit ribosomal RNA", at positions 354 to 776 of the family's 1533-position model. The record is from RNAcentral.